This 498-nucleotide ribosomal RNA is filed under the name uncultured bacterium. RNAcentral describes it as "bacterial SSU rRNA". It matches the Rfam family "Bacterial small subunit ribosomal RNA", at positions 33 to 507 of the family's 1533-position model. The record is from RNAcentral.
AGGCUACGCUGGCGGCGUGUCUUAGCCAUGCAAGUCGAGCGGACUUAUGGGGUAACUUAUAAGUCAGCGGCGGACGGCGGAGUAACACGUAGCUAACCUACCCUCUGGACGGGGAUAACCUACCGAAAGGUGGACUAAUACCCGAUGUAGUCAUCCUGUAUAGGGGUGAUGAAAGGUGGGCUUCUGUUUACAAGCUCAUGCUGGAGGAGGGGGCUGCGGCCUAUCAGGUAGUUGGUAGGGUAAUAGCCUACCAAGCCGAUGACGGGUAGCCGGCCUGAGAGGGUGACCGGCCCGAGGGGCACUGAGAUACGGGUCCCACUCCUACGGGAGGCAGCAGGCUAGAAAUUUGGGCAAUGGGGGAAACCCUGACCCAGUGACGCCGCGUGCAGGAAGGAGCCCUUCGGGGUGUAAACUGCUGUCGUGUAGGGAGAAGGGUACUAAGGUGAACAAUCUUAGUACUUGACGGUACUACAGGAGGAAGCCCAGGCUAACCUCGUG